RNAcentral lists this long non-coding RNA (244 nucleotides) under Gallus gallus (chicken). Lineage: Eukaryota; Metazoa; Chordata; Aves; Galliformes; Phasianidae. The record is from RNAcentral.
GCAGCUUGUAUCCAGGGAGAUAUUUUACAUUUUCAUGUUCAUUAUUUAUUAUAUCUGUCAGUUUUCUCCCAUUAAUAUUCUCCUCGAAGACCCACAUCUUCACUGUGGAAGCAAACUUUUGCAAUUUUUUUACAUUAUUGCCUAUUAUUUUGGCAACCGCAGAACCCCAGUUCCCCGAGCCCACGAUGCACACCCUGAGGGGCGCCCCGGAGAGCGCCAUGGCAGCGCCGCCCGCGCCCCGCCA